CGAUUGAGCAAUAUAUGGUGUAUUGUGGAGACGAGAAUAUGACACAAAACGACUGACAACUGUGAAUAACAAUGGCGGACGAUGUAAACAAGAUUUAGGUGUCGCUAGAAAACCAAUAGCCGUGUUUCGAGUUCCUCCGGAACACAGUUUUUAUUCUGUGUUUAGUCACGCCGCUUCAAAAAUGUUCAGCAGGGUUACUUCCGGUUUCUCGUUGUUUACCAACACUUCGCAUAUUAAAUGUAUAUGUUUGGGAUGUAUGGGGGUAUGUAUUUGUUUGUCAACAUUUGAUAAGCUACCAUUGGUCAAAUGCAACGGAAGACUUAGACAAGACGACGAUGUUGCAGUGUAACUUGCAGAUCUAUGCAGAAGGCCUGUCUAGGAACCCAGGCCCUAUUAGUACAGUAGUAGCCAUAGUGGGACAUGAAAAGAACGUAUUAGACUCGGUGAAACCUACCAAAUAGGUGCUGUGAUGGUGUACAUAUAUGACCUGCUUUGGUCUGAAUGGUUUGCUAUUAAACUAUGGACAGGACAGUGGUAUCAUCUGUGAAUGACUGACCAUGCUGAUUAUGUCAAAGCUAUGGAAUAAAUUCUACAUAAAUGAUCAUCAUACUCAUCAAAGACACAACAGAAUACGAUAUAUGCGACCAAAAAUGACCAAGACAAAAGAAAAAUGUUAUAUGGGGAUAUAGGAAGUGGAUCAUCCAUUUUCCUUGCCUUUCCCUCGAGGUCUUCAGACAGUGUCUCUAUACAUCAUUAACCAUGUUUUACUGCAUACCAGUCAAUAAUUCCAGUCAACAUAAGUACAGUCAUUGUUAUCAACCUGUGUAUAU
This is a long non-coding RNA of Ostrea edulis (European flat oyster), 830 nucleotides long. RefSeq lists it as uncharacterized. The record is from RefSeq and is a predicted model, not a curated record. NCBI's taxonomy places the organism in Eukaryota, Metazoa, Mollusca, Bivalvia, Ostreida, Ostreidae. The transcript has 3 exons.